AGAGUUUGAUCCUGGCUCAGGAUGAACGCUGGCGGCGUGUCUAAGGCAUGCAAGUCGAACGAGUUAUUAUAAUCUAUUAUGAUGACUAGUGGCAAACGGGUGCGUAACACAUUGGUAAUCUACCCCAAAGUCAGAAAUAACUCCGCGAAAGCGGAGCUAAUCUCUGAUGUGCUGUAUACCUUCAUGGUAUACAGUAAAGCUCCGGCGCUUUGGGAGGAGCCUAUGGCCUAUCAGCUUGUUGGUGGUGUAAGAGACCACCAAGGCUACGACAGGUAGCGGGUGUGAGAGCACGACCCGCCUCACUGGGACUGAGACACUGCCCAGACUCCUACGGGAGGCUGCAGUCGAGAAUCUUCCCCAAUGCACGAAAGUGUGAGGGAGCGACGCCGCGUGACUGAAGACGCCCUUCGGGGUGUAAAAGUCUUUUCUAUGGGACGAACUAAUGACGGUACCAUAGGAAUAAGGGGUGGCUAACUUCGUGCCAGAAGCCUCGGUAAUACGAAGGCCCCAAGCGUUAUCCGGAUUUAUUGGGCGUAAAGCGUACGUAGGCCGUUUAGCAAGUCAGUGGUAAAAUCCCAAGGCUCAACCUUGGACCUGCCCCUGAAACUGCUAAACUAGAGGCUGGGAGAGGCGAGCGGAAUUGCUGGUGUAGGGGUAAAAUCCGUUAAUAUCAGCAGGAACACCAAAUGCGAAGGCAGCUCGCUAGAACAGUCCUGACGCUAAGGUACGAAAGCGUGGGGAGCGAAGCGGAUUAGAUACCCGCGUAGUCCACGCUGUAAACGAUGGAUACUAGGCAUUGGAAGUAUCGACCCUUUCAGUGCCGGUGAACAAAGCUAACGCAUUAAGUAUCCCGCCUGGGGAGUACGGCCGCAAGGCUAAAACUCAAGGGAAUUGACGGGGACCCGCACAAGCGGUGGAGCACGUGGUUUAAUUCGACAAUAAGCGAGGAACCUUACCAAGGCUUGACAUCUAGCUGCAAUCCCGAUGAAAAUCGGGACGCCUUCGAGGGUGCUAGACAGGUGUUGCAUGGUUGCCGUCAGCUCGUGCCGUGAGGUGUACAGUUAAGUCUGGAAACGAGCGCAACCCCUGCCCUAAUUUGCAUCUUUAUUAGGGGACCGCCGUGUAUAACACGGAGGAAGGUGGGGACGACGUCAAAUCAGCAUGGCCCUUACGCCUUGGGCGACACACAUGCUACAAUGGCCAGUACAAAGGGUUGCCAAACCGCAAGGUGGAGCUAAUCCCAACAAAACUGGUCUCAGUUCGGAUUGAGGUCUGCAACUCGACCUCAUGAAGCUGGAAUCGCUAGUAACCGUAAAUCAGCUACGUUACGGUGAAUACGUUCUCGGGUCUUGUACACACCGCCCGUCAUGUCAAGAGAGUCGAUAAUACCCGAAUACUGGUGUAGUCCGGUAGAAGGUAAGAUCGAUGAUAGGGGCAAAGUCGUAACAAGGCA
RNAcentral lists this ribosomal RNA (1453 nucleotides) under metagenome. RNAcentral's name for it is "bacterial SSU rRNA". It matches the Rfam family "Bacterial small subunit ribosomal RNA". The record is from RNAcentral.